RNAcentral lists this ribosomal RNA (775 nucleotides) under uncultured Neocallimastigales. Its description in RNAcentral is "partial large subunit ribosomal RNA". It matches the Rfam family "Eukaryotic large subunit ribosomal RNA", at positions 26 to 644 of the family's 3401-position model. Lineage: Eukaryota; Fungi; Neocallimastigomycota; Neocallimastigomycetes; Neocallimastigales. The record is from RNAcentral.
CGCAUCUGUGCAUGCAGCAUAUCAAUAAGCGGAGGAAAAGAAACUAACAAGGAUUCCCCUAGUAACGGCGAGUGAAGCGGGAAGAGCUCAAAUUUGAAAUCUUAAAGGGUUUCCCUUUACGAAUUGUAGUUUAAAGAAGUGUUUUCUGUUGAGGUUUUGGUAAAAGUUCUUUGGAAUAGGACAUCAUAGAGGGUGAGAAUCCCGUAUUUGACCUUUACUUUCAACUUUGUGAUACACUUUCAAAGAGUCGGAUUGUUUGGGAAUGCAGUCCAAAAUGGGUGGUAAAUUUCAUCUAAAGCUAAAUAUUGGCGAAGAGACCGAUAGCGAACAAGUACCGUGAGGGAAAGAUGAAAAGAACUUUGAAAAGAGAGUUAAACAGUACGUGAAAUUGUCAAAAGGGAAGCGUUUGACACCAGUGUUGUUUUUCUGAAAAUCAAUUAAAGAACUGUUUAUGCUAAGCUGUUUAGACUUUAUCAGCUAUCUGUUUAGUUUUGAGCUUUUCUUUAAUGCACUUUUCAGUUAACAAGUCAACAUCAAUUUCUUUUGCUGUAAAAAAGCUUGAGGAAGGUGGCUUGAGAUUCGUCUUAAGUGUUUAUAGCCUCUUGCCUAUGCAGUCGGAGAGAUUGAGGUCUGCAGCGUAGAUCCUUCGGGGCUAAAUGCAUUUGUGCUAAGUUAUAGCAUUUUAUAGACAACUUGUUGACUAUGAUUUGUCUUGUAGCUUACUCGCUUAUGUUAUUUUACCUACGCUUAGGAUGUUGAAUCUGUGCGAGACUAC